This is a long non-coding RNA of Magallana angulata, 469 nucleotides long. RefSeq lists it as uncharacterized. The transcript has 3 exons. Lineage: Eukaryota; Metazoa; Mollusca; Bivalvia; Ostreida; Ostreidae. The record is from RefSeq and is a predicted model, not a curated record.
UUGUUAAAGUGUGCGUCCACAUUCAUUAAGUUGUUUUAAUAUUGAUAGUCGUUCCGAAGACAAAUAUUGAUCUUGGAUUGGCUUGUGGUCCUGUGUGGUUCACGUCGACGUCUUUUGCAGAAAGUAAAACCUGGGGUUUGUUUUGCCUCUCUUCGUCAUGAAUUUCUUCGAUUGGAGAAAAGGAAGUUGAAAUGCAGGGGAAGUAUCAGCUUAAAGCUGAACCACACGGAAGGAACGUGACCUUGACGUGAAGGGACUUUUAGCCGCCCGAUUACCAGUUCGAAUAUAUUGUGGCAAUCUCUUCAUCCUUAACAACUACCACGAUGGCAUGAAAGAGAGUUGAAGUAGGGUCAGCUCCUCCAGAAUGUAUCUUGUAUGACCUUCACCCUGGGACUAUUUACUACACAACAGUUGGGAUAUGGAAAGAUAUGCACUUUGCGGAAUAUCAAGAAACAAGCGAAAUAAUUUC